Molecule: ribosomal RNA, 253 nt
Filed under: uncultured bacterium
Lineage: Bacteria
Description: partial 16S ribosomal RNA
Rfam family: Bacterial small subunit ribosomal RNA
Source: RNAcentral
GACGGAGGGUGCAAGCGUUAUUCGGAUUCAUUGGGCGUAAAGAGCGUGUAGGCGGCCGGGCAAGUCAGAGGUGAAAGCCCAGGGCUCAACCCUGGAAGUGCCUUUGAAACUGCUUGGCUUGAGUUCGGGAGAGGGAAGUGGAAUUCCUGGUGUAGAGGUGAAAUUCGUAGAUAUCAGGAGGAACACCGGUGGCGAAGGCGACUUCCUGGACCGAAACUGACGCUGAGACGCGAAAGCGUGGGGAGCAAACAGG